GUCCCCGUAUCCCAACCGGCAGAGGAAAUGGUCUCAAACACCAUCCAGUGUGGGUUCGAAUCCCACCGGGGACAC
This 75-nucleotide transfer RNA is filed under the name Actinoplanes sp. NBRC 103695. RNAcentral's name for it is "tRNA-Leu". It matches the Rfam family "tRNA". From Rfam's summary of the family: Transfer RNA (tRNA) molecules are approximately 80 nucleotides in length. Lineage: Bacteria; Bacillati; Actinomycetota; Actinomycetes; Micromonosporales; Micromonosporaceae. The record is from RNAcentral.